GCAGGUUGAAGCGCGGGUAAGACCGCGUGGAGGACCGAACCCACCUGGGUUGAAAACCGGGGGGAUGACUUGGGGCUAGGGGUGAAAGGCCAAUCAAAUUCCGUGAUAGCUGGUUCUCUCCGAAAUGCAUUUGGGUGCAGCGUCGGGUCAUUACGUCCCGGGGGUAGAGCUACUGGAUGCUUGCGGGCCCGUAUCGGGUACCAACAGCAACCAAACUCCGAAUACCGGUGACGCGUAUCCCGGCAGUGAGUCGGCGGGGGAUAAGCUCCGUCGUCGAGAGGGAGACAGCCCAGACCGUCGUCUAAGGUCCCGAAGCGUGUGCUAAGUGGGAAAGGAUGUGGAGUCGCAUAGACAGCCAGGAGGUUGGCUCAGAAGCAGCCAUCCUUGAAAGAGUGCGUAACAGCUCACUGGUCUAGUGGUUCCGCGCCGACAAUGUAGCGGGGCUCAAGCACACCACCGAAGACGCGGCAGUAUUUUGUACUGGGUAGGAGAGCGUCCCAUGAGGGGCGAAGCGGCCGUGUGAACGCGCCGUGGACUUCAUGGGAGUGAGAAUGCAGACAUGAGUAGCGAGAGACGGGUGAAGAUCCCGUCCGCUGGAUGACCAAGGGUUCCGGGGCCACGUUCGUCGUCCCCGGGUGAGUCGGGUCCUAAGGCGAGGCCGACAGGCGUAGUCGAAUGGAUGAACGGGUCGAUAUUCCCGUACCGGCUUUCAGCCGCCAAAACCGAGGCUUGGAGUACUAACCUCCGGGUCCGGGCUUACUGCUCCUUCGGGGGCGGGAUGCCCUGGCCUGUUGGGACCGAUCCUUGUAGUAGGUCAGCGCAGGAGUGACGCAGAAGGGUAGCCGGCCGCGGAGGUGGUCUUCCGUGGUCAAGCACGCAGGGCGUGGGACAGGCAAAUCCGUCCCGCAUGGGUCCGAGGUGCGAUGAUGGGGGCCUUAUGGCCCGAUAUCCGGUGAUCCCGGCUGCCGAGAAAAGCUUCGGCGUCAGGCUCAAAGCCGCCCGUACCCCAAACCGACACUGGUGGUCAGGUAGAGAAUACCAAAGCGAUCGAGCGAAUCCUGGUCAAGGAACUCGGCAAAUCACUCCCGUUCCUUCGGUUUAAGGGAGACCCCCGAUGGUGAACACACUUGCUGUGGGAGCUUUUGGGGGUGGCACAGACCAGGGGGUAGCGACUGUUUACCAAAAACACAGGUGCAUGCGAAGGCGAAAGCCGCUGUAUAUGCACUGACGCCUGCCCGGUGCCGGAAGGUUAAGAGGAUCCGUCAGCCUUCGGGUGAAGCGGUGAAUUCAAGCCCCGGUAAACGGCGGUGGUAACUAUAACCAUCCUAAGGUAGCGAAAUUCCUUGUCGGGUAAGUUCCGACCUGCACGAAUGGCGUAACGACUUCCCCACUGUCUCGACCAGGAGCUCGGCGAAAUUGCAGUACGAGUAAAGAUGCUCGUUAAGCGCAGAAGGACGAAAAGACCCCGGGACCUUUACUAUACCUUGGUAUUGGCGUUAGGCGCGGAUUGUGUAGCAUAGGCGGGAGGCUUCGAAGCGUGGGCGCCAGCUCAUGUGGAGCCGCAAGGUGAAAUACCGCUCUGUUCUCGUUUGACGUCUAACCUCGACAAGUCAUCCUUGUCAGGGACAGUGCCUGGCGGGUAGUUCAACUGGGGCGGUUGCCUCCCAAAGAGUAACGGAGGCGCUCAAAGGUCCGCUCAGCCCGGUUGGCAAUCGGGUGUCGAGUGUAAUCGCACAAGCGGGCUUGACUGCGAGGACGACGGUCCGAGCAGGGACGAAAGUCGGAGAUAGUGAUCCGGUGCCGGCGCACGGGCGCGGCAUCGCUCAACGGAUAAAAGGUACCCCGGGGAUAACAGGCUGAUCAUUCCCAAGAGUCCAUAUCGACGGGAUGGUUUGGCACCUCGAUGUCGGCUCGUCGCAUCCUGGGGCUGGAGCAGGUCCCAAGGGUUCGGCUGUUCGCCGAUUAAAGCGGCACGCGAGCUGGGUUCAGAACGUCGUGAGACAGUUUGGUCUCUAUCCUCUGCGCUCGUUGGAAUCCUGAGGAGGCCUGCCCAUAGUACGAGAGGACCUGGGUGGACGAACCUCUGGUAUGCCGGUUGUC
Molecule: ribosomal RNA, 2100 nt
Filed under: human gut metagenome
Description: bacterial LSU rRNA
Rfam family: Bacterial large subunit ribosomal RNA
Source: RNAcentral